RNAcentral lists this ribosomal RNA (408 nucleotides) under uncultured bacterium. RNAcentral's name for it is "partial 16S ribosomal RNA". It matches the Rfam family "Bacterial small subunit ribosomal RNA", at positions 28 to 526 of the family's 1533-position model. The record is from RNAcentral.
AUUGAACGCUGGCGGCGUGCUUAACACAUGCAAGUCGAACGAAGUGGCGAACGGGUGAGUAAUACGUGGGUAACCUGCCCUCCUUUUUGGGAUAAGCCUUGGAAACGGGGUCUAAUACCGAAUAAAGGGGGAUGGGCUCGCGGCCUAUCAGCUUGUGGGUGGGGUGAUGGCCUACCAAGGCGGUGACGGGUAGCCGGCCUGAGAGGUGAACCGGCCACAUUGGGACUGAGUAAGGGCCCAGCUUCCUACGGGGGGAAGCAGGGGGGGAUGUUGCACAAGGGGGGAAAGCCUAAUGCGGGGAAGCCGCGGGGGGGAGGAAGGCUUGCGGGUUGUAAACCUGUUUCGAUAUCGAACGGGUAGGUGGAGAGGAGGAGCCGGUAAACUACGUGCCAGCAGCCGCGGUAAUAC